RNAcentral lists this unclassified non-coding RNA (649 nucleotides) under Athalia rosae (coleseed sawfly). RNAcentral's name for it is "misc RNA ENSAEAG00005002423.1". The record is from RNAcentral. Lineage: Eukaryota; Metazoa; Arthropoda; Insecta; Hymenoptera; Athaliidae.
CGAUUCAACAUUCGCUUAAUCUUAAAAAUGAACAAACACCGAGACUUGUGUAACGGUCUCGUUAGCGGUUAUUCCCAAAAGUAAAAUAAUCGCUGCCUAACAGUUGCCUUUAAGUUUGCCAAAUUUAUCUUCGUAAGCGACACGGUGUUCUCCGGUCGGGUCGAAACGAUCGAGGAAUUCUUUGAAGCUCUCCGGUUGUUCGGCGCAGAUUUUUUCGAGAAUAUCCUUCAUCUUGUCUUUCUGUUUAUCCGAGCAUUUCGCGCAUCGUGUCGAAAGCGCUUCUGGUAUAACUCCUGCAAAUUCGACGGCUUCCUGGGGACACCCAGUCACCCUUUUUCCCAAUAUACAUUCUUUAUAAUUGAGGAAUAGUCUGGAGUUACGGAAGAUGGGCGUUACGUCGAGGUUGUCCCAUUUGUCGGUGUAGGUUUUUUGGUCCGCGACAACCGCUGCGAUCAGGGCAAUCAGGAUACUUGCGCUGUACCACUUCAUAUCGGUAUCGAUCGAAUAAUCUAUUUAUUCGUAUUCGAAACUCGAAUUUUCACCCGACUCGAGAACUAUUUACGAAAAUGGGAGAUUACAAUGAACGAACGCUGCUUGUGUGAAGCUGAAUUUCAGACUGACUAUGCAACAAAAUUCAACUGCAUUUAUA